AUGAUCCGGGAAUUGGAUGCUCUGUACAGGGAAACCGCAAAGUCUGAACGAUAUGAUACCAUGAAGGCUUUGAUGGAUUGCAAGAUGGCUGAGGGUAGUUCAGUUGGCGAACACGUGGUCAAAAUGAUUGGCUAUGCUGAAAGGCUUAAAACCCUGGAAUUUCCACUUCCACCUGGCCAUAUGAUGGACAUGUUGCUUUCUUCACUCCCCCCGUCUUACGACGGUUUUGUCAUGAACUACAACAUGACAGGGAUGGAGAAGACACCGGAAGAGGUGCUCGCCAUGCUGAAAACUACAGAAGGAGGACUGCGGAAAAAUCGCAAGCAAGUGUUGCUUGUGAAUAAAACCGCCAGUUUCAAAAAGAAGAAAGGCAAGCCAAAGAAGGGCAAGGGCACCGGUAAGACCGGCUCCCAAAGCAACUCUAAGGGCGGAGCCAAGAAUGAAAUUGAGUGCUUCUACUGCAAGGGCACAGGACACUGGAAGAGAAACUGCAAGAAGUAUCUGGAAGAUAAGAAGACCGGGAAAACCGGAAAAGGUAUAAUUGUUAUACAAGUUAAUGUCAUUGACGUUUUGCUUGCUAGCGAAAAUUCUAAGUCUUGGGUAUUUGAUACCGGAUCGGUUGCUCACAUUUGCAACUCGAUACAGGGGCUUCAGAAGGUGCGCAACCUUGCAAAGAAUGAAGUCGUGAUGCGCGUCGGAAACGGCGCUGGGAUCGCCGCUCAAGCCGUCGGCAUUAUGCCUCUACGUCUCCCUUCAGGAUUUAUCUUAAAACUAAGUAACUGUUAUUUUGUUCCACUGUUAUGUAGAAACAUUAUCUCCGGAUCAUGUUUGGUACACGAUGAGUAUUCGUACAAGUCUGAGAACAAUGGUUGUUCACUUUAUUGUAAGGAUAUGUUUUAUGGAUUUGCACCCAUUGUUGGGGGCCUUUUCAUACUAAAUCUUGAAUGUGGAAAUGAUGUCUUUAACGUGAAUCGUCAACUCGGGCGUUUCGUGCUUCGUCAACUCGGGCUUCACCCGCUGCUUCAUCCCGACGAGCUACGGCCGCUGCUUGGCCCUGGAGCGCGUCCUGCAAUCCGUCCGUGUCGCCUGCCCACACGGCUGCGCCGCCGCCAAGAUGCUCUACCACGAGAAGGCGGACCACCAAAAGACGUGUGUCGGAUCAUCAGCCGCCGUGGAGCAGCCGGCCGUGCUCCUCCAGCAAGCCCCCUCGGGUGA
This 1215-nucleotide ribosomal RNA is filed under the name Triticum aestivum (bread wheat). RNAcentral describes it as "partial small subunit ribosomal RNA". Lineage: Eukaryota; Viridiplantae; Streptophyta; Magnoliopsida; Poales; Poaceae. The record is from RNAcentral.